UACGGAGGUGGCAAGCGUUGUUCGGAAUUACUGGGCGUAAAGGGCGCGUAGGCGGGGAGGCAAGUCGGGUGUGAAAGCCCUCGGCUCAACCGAGGAACGGCGCCCGAAACUGCUUCUCUUGAGUCCCGGAGAGGAAGGUGGAAUUCCCGGUGUAGCGGUGAAAUGUGUAGAGAUCGGGAGGAACACCGGUGGCGAAGGCGGCCUUCUGGACGGUGACUGACGCUGAGGCGCGAAAGCGUGGGGAGCAAACGGG
Molecule: ribosomal RNA, 253 nt
Filed under: uncultured bacterium
Lineage: Bacteria
Description: partial 16S ribosomal RNA
Rfam family: Bacterial small subunit ribosomal RNA
Source: RNAcentral